GGGUAGAAUGGUAAUUGGGGCAUCCAAGCAAUUCUCCACUGCCAACCGCCUUCCAAUUACCAGCACAGCCCAUCGCCAAUCCGACGUCUGAUUGUUCGCGCAACGGUUGCGCGUCCAUCGGCUGGCCGAGCCAACGACGGCGAACUCGAAGAGACUGACGGAACACACGAAGCUUGCUUCAGUUUUCUAUCAUCUUCCGCGCGAUGUAGAGGCAACUGGACCUAUUAAUCUCGUCAUUCGUGACCAUCACGGCGUCACAGGAGGCUAGUAAGCGCUGGUCAAAGUACCAAACGCGUGCCCACCAAUGGAUGACGCUUGAGGUGGCUGG
This 328-nucleotide long non-coding RNA is filed under the name Manihot esculenta (cassava). RNAcentral's name for it is "long non-coding RNA (MESC_LNC010147)". The record is from RNAcentral. Lineage: Eukaryota; Viridiplantae; Streptophyta; Magnoliopsida; Malpighiales; Euphorbiaceae.